This 468-nucleotide ribosomal RNA is filed under the name uncultured bacterium. RNAcentral's name for it is "partial 16S ribosomal RNA". It matches the Rfam family "Bacterial small subunit ribosomal RNA", at positions 28 to 507 of the family's 1533-position model. The record is from RNAcentral.
GACGAACGCUGGCGGCGUGCUUAACACAUGCAAGUCGAACGGAAAGGCCCUGCUUUUGUGGGGUGCUCGAGUGGCGAACGGGUGAGUAACACGUGAGUAACCUGCCCUUGACUUUGGGAUAACUUCAGGAAACUGGGGCUAAUACCGGAUAGGAGCUCCUGCUGCAUGGUGGGGGUUGGAAAGUUUCGGCGGUUGGGGAUGGACUCGCGGCUUAUCAGCUUGUUGGUGGGGUAGUGGCUUACCAAGGCUUUGACGGGUAGCCGGCCUGAGAGGGUGACCAGCCAAAGUGGGACUGAGAUACGGCCCAGACUCCUACGGGAGGCAGCAGUGGGGAAUAUUGCACAAUGGGCGGAAGCCUGAUGCAGCAACGCCGCGUGCGGGAUGACGGCCUUCGGGUUGUAAACCGCUUUCGCCUGUGACGAAGCGUGAGUGACGGUAAUGGGUAAAGAAGCACCGGCUAACUACGUG